RNAcentral lists this long non-coding RNA (512 nucleotides) under Brassica napus (rape). RNAcentral's name for it is "long non-coding RNA (BNAP_LNC026221)". The record is from RNAcentral. Lineage: Eukaryota; Viridiplantae; Streptophyta; Magnoliopsida; Brassicales; Brassicaceae.
UUUUGGGUUUAGUGAUAGCAUUUUUGGGUUUAGUAUUCAAAAGUUAGGUCUGAGUUUAGCAUUGAGGAGUUUUGUUUGGAUUUAGUUUAAUAUUAUAUAAUAUUAUAUACUAUUUUCAGAUUUUUAUAAUUGGGUUUAAGGUUUAUAUUUGGGUUUAGGGUUCAGUAAUUAGGGUUUAAAGUUUAGUAUUUAGAUGGAAGGGUGAUGUUUAAAGUUUAGGGUUUAUUAUUUUGGAGUUGAGGUUUGGAUUAAAGUUUAGUAUUUACUAAGUGUGAGUGGAUUUUGAAUCCUAUUAUUUUUAGUAAUAUAGUAUAGAAAAAUUAGAUGUAUAUUUAUGUGUUAAAUAAAAGUGUGGUGUUGAUUGAAUUACGUGUGAUAAUUAAUUGUGGGGUGUCAAAUUGUUGAUGUCAUCAGUUUCUCUCUCUAUUACUGGCAACUUGAACAAAAAAAAGGUAUUACCGGAUAGAAGUUGACAUAAUUGUUAUGGGCUUUAUUAUGUCAAAAUCAAUGCU